UACAGAGGGUGCAAGCGUUAAUCGGAAUUACUGGGCGUAAAGCGUGCGUAGAUGGUUCACUCAGUCGGAUGUGAAAGCCCCGGGCUCAACCUGGGAACUGCAUCCGAUACUGGUGGACUAGAGUGCGGUAGAGGAUGGCGGAAUUCCCGGUGUAGCGGUGAAAUGCGUAGAGAUCGGGAGGAACAUCCGUGGCGAAGGCGGCCAUCUGGACCAGCACUGACGUUGAGGCACGAAAGCGUGGGGAGCAAACAGG
This 253-nucleotide ribosomal RNA is filed under the name uncultured bacterium. Its description in RNAcentral is "partial 16S ribosomal RNA". It matches the Rfam family "Bacterial small subunit ribosomal RNA", at positions 524 to 776 of the family's 1533-position model. The record is from RNAcentral.